This 302-nucleotide unclassified non-coding RNA is filed under the name air metagenome. RNAcentral describes it as "partial contains small subunit ribosomal RNA, internal transcribed spacer 1, and 5.8S ribosomal RNA". The stretch from base 1 to 46 matches the Rfam family "Eukaryotic small subunit ribosomal RNA", at positions 1786 to 1831 of the family's 1831-position model. The record is from RNAcentral.
AAGUCGUAACAAGGUUUCCGUAGGUGAACCUGCGGAAGGAUCAUUAAUGAAUAAACUUGGUUGGGUUGUUGCUGGCUCUCAGGAGCAUGUGCACGCUCACUCCAUUUUUAACCACCUGUGCACGUUGUGUAGAUCUGAUAAACUCGAGGUAACUCGGUUUGAGAAUUGUUGUGCGCAAGCCAGCUGUUCUUGUAAUCAGGUCUAUGAUUUCACAUACCCCAUACGAAUGUAUCAGAAUGUCGUAAUAGGCCUCAGUGCCUUUAAAAUUAAUACAACUUUCAACAACGGAUCUCUUGGCUCUC